Molecule: long non-coding RNA, 2478 nt
Organism: Aquila chrysaetos chrysaetos
Lineage: Eukaryota; Metazoa; Chordata; Aves; Accipitriformes; Accipitridae
Exons: 10
Source: RefSeq, a predicted model, not a curated record
CCAAAGGAGCAGUCUCCCUGAUGUUUCCAAUGUAAAUGCAGCCAUGUCUCAGUAUCUGGACAAGAGGUGCUAUCAAGAUGUUCUCCUUCAGUGGCAGAGAAGGGAGUUCUGAAUUGCUGGUGUGGUAGGUGCAAAGCUAUUAGGUAGUAGCCUACGAAUUCAGACCAGUCAUUGGAAUACCAUAUGGAACCUGGAUGGAGUGGUAAAGCUGGCACUGGAGACUUCUCCCAGUGAAACCCCUCGGAAGACUGUCAUGCUGGAAAACGUAUAGCUCUGGGAGAGGGUAAGGAGAACCAGCUUCUCACCACAGUCCAGCACCUUGGAGGAGUUUGCAAGAGUCUAUCACAUCCGGAGCUUGUACUCUCAGCCUGAGGCUUUUCUAUGAGAAUUUCUUCUAAGAGAAAUGUUGUUUGAGUGUUUUGCAGAGAAGAAAGUGAGAAAACUGGAGACAAACUCUCCCAGAAGAGAAAUCAGCCCUCACUGUUGCUAGCGGUGCUGAACUAUGGUCAUGCAGUGGAAGAGUCAGGGAUCUCCCAAUAACUCAGUUUCCGAUAAAAGAGACUAAUGUCCUACAGUCAGGACUGCCAACAUUACCACGGAAACCCCCAAAAAUAAAGACUUUCCCAGCCUUGUGAGAGCACACCUGCAAGAGCAAGAAUUGCCUGUCAUAAGCGACUCUCCUUCAUUAUUGGUGUCACCUAAGGACAUUUUUUGUGGACUGAAGCUUCCUGUUGUACACAGGAAAAAUUUUCACACAGAAGUAGUCCAGCAUUUAUGAGAAGAAACCUUCCCAGAAGUGCACAGGAGUGAUUUUCCCUGGAUGUUAGUGAUUCCUGUGAACUCCAGAUCACUUCAGUAAAACAGAGUCUUACAAGGAAGGACAUGCAACAUCUCACAGAUCACAGCCUUACAAAGGAUCCAAAACCAGUCAGCAACUGCAUUUUCCUGUGCGUGUUCAGAAUGCAAACGGGCCAAAGUACACCUGAACAGCAUGCCUACCAAUUCAAGAGACUUCCUAUAUUUAAUGUGAACCAGACCGAAUCAAUACAUACUGAAAAAAUUGACUAGGAAACGGCAUUUUUUUUACUCUGUACUUUAAAAACAUAACCCUGGAGGCCAAAAUUACUGUCUUGACUAUUUGGCAAUUGAUGACAACAGAAUUAGGAUUAGUGGGACACUGACUCCCAGUGUUUCCCAAGCACCUUCUGCAUGAACUGGAGGAACACCUUGUACACACUGAGUAUGAAACAGAAGGUCCCUCAGUUCAUCAAUGCCACAGUGCCCAACAGGCACUGCUCUUUUGAGAAACAUUCCUAGACUCAGCAGUUUGUCUGAAUUUCAACCAAAUGAAGCCUCGCAAUUGGUAAAAUCCAGACAAAGUCCAACCAGACCUGGCCUGGCUCUGCUGCUGUUGCUCUGCACACUAAUGCAGACCCUGUGAACUCAACUGACUGAAUGAGCUGAAGAGUGAAGCACCCCAAAGGUCCGGGGAAUAAAGUCAGUUUCAAACCACCCCAUUAUGAGUCCGCCCUGGCAUCUGCAUGGGCUCCCAGUGCCAACGGUACCAUUUGCGAAAAACCUCAAGGCUCCUUGCUGGUGACGGAGAACCUGAUGUCAAAUCUCUCCUCACUGGCUCACCUGAACGUUCAGAGCAGGGAGGUGAGCGACGCAGCAGCUACUGCAGAGACUCUCAAUCAUCUGAAGGCUGGUUAAACUAAUUCAGGGAUACAAGCGGCUCGCAGCAGCCUAGCAUACCACUGAACCACACCCUUCAAGUUAUUUCCAGCAAUCCUAACAGCCACUGCAGUCCAAGACCAUCUUGGGGUUUCCAUCUGAAGUCCAGAUCCUACACGCUGCAGAGCUGCCCUUCAGAAUCCUCUGACUUUAUAGCUGGAAGCAGGCCUCACGAAUGUAGGUCACGGUAACUUAAAAGCACUGGAGCUAAAGGAUGCCACCCCAGUACCCGUACCCCCCCUUGAGCAGCACUGCCCUGCAGCCUCCUCAGCACCAUCUCCGCACGUCCCACACGAAGUUCUGCACCACCUAGGAUCUAGGCAAAGGAAGGGUGGAGCCAGCUCCUCACCUCCUGUCUGCAGCCACACAAGAUAGUACAUCCUGAAAGCAUUAUGUUUGCCACAAUCCCUUUUUCCUCCUUCCCCUCAGUGCAACUGCGGAAAAGAAGGAAGGGUAGAUUGGAACAGUAUCUCGGCUUCCACGGAGGCACGCUACAAGCGAGGGAGACAGAAAGGACAGUUGAACAGACAACCGCAAACACUACAGAGGCACAGGGCCUCCCUGGAGAUGGCCUUGGCCUCCUAUGAAUCCCGCCGGAGUCCUACAGCUGUUCCUGCCAUCCACAUGGGAAAACGUGUGUGUGUGUGCACAUGUGAGAGAGCUGCUGAGGAAAUACCUGUGGAGGCAUCUAACUCAAAGGUAGAACAGCAUGUUUUGAUAAAUAAAUAUUUAUUUAUGAAAAAA